ACCUGAAAUCUAAGGAAAUUAGGUCGGAUACAUAC
RNAcentral lists this small RNA (35 nucleotides) under Bombyx mori (domestic silkworm). RNAcentral's name for it is "ovarian small RNA-11367". The record is from RNAcentral. Lineage: Eukaryota; Metazoa; Arthropoda; Insecta; Lepidoptera; Bombycidae.